This is a non-coding RNA of Solenopsis invicta (red fire ant), 45 nucleotides long. The record is from Rfam. Lineage: Eukaryota; Metazoa; Arthropoda; Insecta; Hymenoptera; Formicidae.
CGACCGGCCCUUUUCAGGGCCACCAAAUUUUCCAACAGAAUAUUU